Molecule: ribosomal RNA, 1362 nt
Filed under: uncultured bacterium
Lineage: Bacteria
Description: bacterial SSU rRNA
Rfam family: Bacterial small subunit ribosomal RNA
Source: RNAcentral
AUUGAACGCUUGCGGCAUGCUUUACACAUGCAAGUCGGACGGCAGCACAGAGAAGCUUGCUUCUUGGGUGGCGAGUGGCGAACGGGUGAGUAACGCAUCGGAACGUACCGAGUAGUGGGGGAUAACUGUCCGAAAGGAUGGCUAAUACCGCAUACGCUUUGAGAAGGAAAGCGGGGGAUCUUCGGACCUCGCGCUAUUCGAGCGGCCGAUGUCUGAUUAGCUAGUUGGUGGGGUAAAGGCCUACCAAGGCGACGAUCAGUAGCGGGUCUGAGAGGAUGAUCCGCCACACUGGGACUGAGACACGGCCCAGACUCCUACGGGAGGCAGCAGUGGGGAAUUUUGGACAAUGGGCGCAAGCCUGAUCCAGCCAUGCCGCGUGUCUGAAGAAGGCCUUCGGGUUGUAAAGGACUUUUGUCAGGGAAGAAAAGCUUUGGGUUAAUACCCUGGAGUGAUGACGGUACCUGAAGAAUAAGCACCGGCUAACUACGUGCCAGCAGCCGCGGUAAUACGUAGGGUGCGAGCGUUAAUCGGAAUUACUGGGCGUAAAGCGAGCGCAGACGGUUUGUUAAGCAGGAUGUGAAAUCCCCGGGCUCAACCUGGGAGCUGCGUUCUGAACUGGCAGGCUAGAGUAUGUCAGAGGGGGGUAGAAUUCCACGUGUAGCAGUGAAAUGCGUAGAGAUGUGGAGGAAUACCGAUGGCGAAGGCAGCCCCCUGGGAUAAUACUGACGUUCAUGCUCGAAAGCGUGGGUAGCAAACAGGAUUAGAUACCCUGGUAGUCCACGCCCUAAACGAUGUCAAUUAGCUGUUGGGGCACUUGAUGCCUUAGUAGCGUAGCUAACGCGUGAAAUUGACCGCCUGGGGAGUACGGUCGCAAGAUUAAAACUCAAAGGAAUUGACGGGGACCCGCACAAGCGGUGGAUGAUGUGGAUUAAUUCGAUGCAACGCGAAGAACCUUACCUGGUCUUGACAUGUACGGAAUCCUCCAGAGACGGAGGAGUGCCUUCGGGAGCCGUAACACAGGUGCUGCAUGGCUGUCGUCAGCUCGUGUCGUGAGAUGUUGGGUUAAGUCCCGCAACGAGCGCAACCCUUGUCAUUAGUUGCCAUCAUUUAGUUGGGCACUCUAAUGAGACUGCCGGUGACAAACCGGAGGAAGGUGGGGAUGACGUCAAGUCCUCAUGGCCCUUAUGACCAGGGCUUCACACGUCAUACAAUGGUCGGUACAGAGGGUAGCCAAGCCGCGAGGUGGAGCCAAUCCCAAAAAACCGAUCGUAGUCCGGAUUGCACUCUGCAACUCGAGUGCAUGAAGUCGGAAUCGCUAGUAAUCGCAGGUCAGCAUACUGCGGUGAAUACGUUCCCGGGUCU